RNAcentral lists this long non-coding RNA (373 nucleotides) under Amborella trichopoda. RNAcentral describes it as "long non-coding RNA (ATRI_LNC005053)". Lineage: Eukaryota; Viridiplantae; Streptophyta; Magnoliopsida; Amborellales; Amborellaceae. The record is from RNAcentral.
UAAAUGCUUUCACGAAUGGUGGAAUUUGACUAAAUUGGUUCUUAUUUUUUAGAAGAAAAACUAGAUUUUUACAAUAUCAAUUGUGUUGGUUCAGCUAGGUUGUGGGUAUUAUGGUGCUUGAUUUUCUUUUUUUUUUUUUUUUCCCCAGAUAAGUUGUUCUCUAUUUGUUCCACUUAUUUGGUUAUAAUUGAUGUCAUAGCUUUUGAGUUGGUUCUAUUAGAGGCUUUUGGCACAAAGUUCUUAUUGGUUGAUAGUUUUCUUGCCAUCCCCUUUUCCUAGUAGCCACAUAAUGCUGAAUAUAUAAAAUUUUGCAUGUUGCAUAAUAUUUUCCUCUUAUUUGUGAAUUGUCCUCAUCUUGCCUCGUACUUUCGCU